CCUACGGGGGGCUGCAGUGAGGAAUAUUGGUCAAUGGGCGGAAGCCUGAACCAGCCAAGUAGCGUGCGGGAUGAAGGCCCUACGGGUCGUAAACCGCUUUUGCACGGGGAUAACACCCUCCACUUGUGGAGGUCUGCAGGUACCGUGCGAAUAAGGGCCGGCUAAUUCCGUGCCAGCAGCCGCGGUAAUACGGAAGGCCCGAGCGUUAGCCGGAUUCAUUGGGCUAAAAGGGAGCGUAGGGGGGAGUUCAAGUCAGCGGUAAAAUGGCGCGGCGCAACCCCGCCCCGCAGUUGAAACUGAACGCCUUGAGUUCACAACAGGCAGGCGGAAUUCGUGGUGUAGCGGGGAAAUGCAUAGAUAUCACGAGGAACCCCGAUUGCGAAGGCAGCCUGCCGGGGUGCGACUGACGCUGAGGCUCGAAGGUGCGGGUAUCAAACAGGAUUAGAUACCCGUGUAGUC
RNAcentral lists this ribosomal RNA (459 nucleotides) under uncultured bacterium. RNAcentral's name for it is "partial 16S ribosomal RNA". It matches the Rfam family "Bacterial small subunit ribosomal RNA", at positions 338 to 795 of the family's 1533-position model. The record is from RNAcentral.